GGAUGUGAGGGCAAUCUGGCUGUGACAUCUACCACCCCAUUGAUCACCAGGGUUGGUUCGGCUGAUCUGGCUGGCUAGGCAGGUGUCCCCUUCCGCAAUGAUCCACACGCAUCCCUUCCAAAGCUGUGUGCUCAGUUGAAGGGGACGGCCACCCCCGAUAGAGGAAGACUGUUCCUUGGCCUAGGGUAUACCGCACUCUCCUGCUAGAACCUCCAAAGAAGCUCUCAAGGUCCAUUGUGGUCAGUGGAUUGAUCUGCUGAGGAAUUUAGUAGCAGAAUGUGUUC
RNAcentral lists this small nuclear RNA (284 nucleotides) under Octodon degus (degu). RNAcentral's name for it is "7SK RNA (ENSODEG00000022967.1)". It matches the Rfam family "7SK RNA". Rfam says of the family: 7SK was discovered as an abundant small nuclear RNA in the mid-70s but a possible function has only recently been suggested. Lineage: Eukaryota; Metazoa; Chordata; Mammalia; Rodentia; Octodontidae. The record is from RNAcentral.